UAGGCAUUUUAUACCGUCUCGGCUAUUUUAAAGGAGAUGCCUGUUUGCUAGAUAUUGUCGGUGAAGAUAUAUCCAGGCGCAUGGUUUUGGAGACAAGAUUAGACAAGGAUAUUGGCGGGCAUGUAGCCCACCUGCUCAAUCAUUUUCAUCGUUAACGAGCGUCAAUUGGAAAUGAGGUAAUGCCGACUAUCGGAGCAGUAGAGCCGAUGCGGAGAAAACGCCCCGCGAGAGCCAAUAGCGGGGCCUUCUCGAAGACGCGCGAAUGUUCGAAGACUUCCUCCGCCAUUCAAUGUCAACGUCAUUGAAAUCGUCACAUUAUCGGAUAAUGACUCGGAUUCAAAAAAAAGAAGAAAAAGAAAAGAAAUAAUGUACAUAUAACAA
Molecule: long non-coding RNA, 381 nt
Organism: Cataglyphis hispanica
Lineage: Eukaryota; Metazoa; Arthropoda; Insecta; Hymenoptera; Formicidae
Exons: 3
Source: RefSeq, a predicted model, not a curated record